AGAGAUGCAUUGGGCGUAAAGUGUGCGCAGGCGGUUUUUGUAAGACAGAGGUGAAAUCCCCGGGCUCAACCUGGGAACUGCCUUUGUGACUGCAAGGCUGGAGUGCGGCAGAGGGGGAUGGAAUUCCGCGUGUAGCAGUGAAAUGCGUAGAUAUGCGGAGGAACACCGAUGGCGAAGGCAAUCCCCCUGGGCCUGCACUGACGCUCAUGCACGAAAGCGUGGGGAGCAAACA
Molecule: ribosomal RNA, 232 nt
Filed under: uncultured Alicycliphilus sp.
Lineage: Bacteria; Pseudomonadati; Pseudomonadota; Betaproteobacteria; Burkholderiales; Comamonadaceae
Description: partial 16S ribosomal RNA
Rfam family: Bacterial small subunit ribosomal RNA
Source: RNAcentral